This 63-nucleotide transfer RNA is filed under the name Heterophrynus longicornis. RNAcentral's name for it is "tRNA-Phe". Lineage: Eukaryota; Metazoa; Arthropoda; Arachnida; Amblypygi; Phrynidae. The record is from RNAcentral.
ACUUAAAUAGCUUAUGUAAAGUAUAGCCCUGAAGAGGCUGGGAAGAGAAUACCUCUUUAGGUG